AUUGAACGCUGGCGGCAUGCCUUACACAUGCAAGUCGAACGGCAGCACGGGUGCUUGCACCUGGUGGCGAGUGGCGAACGGGUGAGUAAUACAUCGGAACAUGUCCUGUAGUGGGGGAUAGCCCGGCGAAAGCCGGAUUAAUACCGCAUACGAUCUACGGAUGAAAGCGGGGGACCUUCGGGCCUCGCGCUAUAGGGUUGGCCGAUGGCUGAUUAGCUAGUUGGUGGGGUAAAGGCCUACCAAGGCGACGAUCAGUAGCUGGUCUGAGAGGACGACCAGCCACACUGGGACUGAGACACGGCCCAGUCUCCUACGGGAGGCAGCAGUGGGGAAUUUUGGACAAUGGGCGAAAGCCUGAUCCAGCAAUGCCGCGUGUGUGAAGAAGGCCUUCGGGUUGUAAAGCACUUUUGUCCGGAAAGAAAUCCUUGGCCCUAAUACGGUCGGGGGAUGACGGUACCGGAAGAAUAAGCACCGGCUAACUACGUG
This 486-nucleotide ribosomal RNA is filed under the name uncultured bacterium. Its description in RNAcentral is "partial 16S ribosomal RNA". It matches the Rfam family "Bacterial small subunit ribosomal RNA", at positions 30 to 507 of the family's 1533-position model. The record is from RNAcentral.